This 1364-nucleotide long non-coding RNA is filed under the name Homo sapiens (human). Its description in RNAcentral is "HSALNT0087295". The record is from RNAcentral. Lineage: Eukaryota; Metazoa; Chordata; Mammalia; Primates; Hominidae.
CGAUCGCCGCGCGCUCUCCGAACCAAAAGGCGACCUCACGAAAUGCCCCUUUGAGCUCAAAGGCUAGUUACCCCCAGGGGCCCUUCCACUCUCGGGGACAGGCGAAACCUCUUUGUCUCUGCCUCGGCCUGCGGCCCCCAGCCCAGCCUCCGCGCUUUCCCUCCGCCAGUCCUUGUCAAUCAAACCUGGUGCCAAACGCGGCAGCUGAAGUUUUCAGGGACACAUUUGCUUCUCCCCUUGAAGAACCAGUUACAAAGCGUGAUGUCCUCUCUGGGGUCCCAUCAGAACAAAGAAACAGGUCUAAAGACCCUCAUUCCAGAGAGCAUCCUGCCCCAUAUCCAGAAUGAAAUCCAUGCUCAGAGAUGCCAAGAAGAAUCUAGACAGACAGGCCUUUCUAGGUAGGUUUCCCCACUCGGUCUUUAGCAUUAGAUCUUACCCUUUUUGUCCAAUCAUAUUUCUACAUAGCUGCCCAUACUUUGUUGAACCUAAUGAUAAAAAUGGACAGUUUCCUCUAUAUCUUUGGGUCCGCAUUCUAAAGGCUCCUGUGUCAGGUACAACUCUAACCAAAUAAAUUUAUAUGCCUUUUCUCCUAGUAAUAUGUGAUUUUCAGCAAAACUUCAGAAGGCAAAGGGAAAGAUUUCCCAGCCCCUAACCAACAUUUGGCACUCGUAAGCUCUUCCUCUUUAACCUUCUAUUCUCCACUGGCUUCUGUCAUUUUAUUCCUAUGUAAAUGAAGAAAACAGAUUUCUCUUCUUCAAUCCAGCCAUUAAACUUGAUAAUUUUCUCUUCUCUUCUGUCUCACUUUUCCUAAGUAAUCUCAUUUCUUCCUGUGGCUUCAGCUAUCAAAUCUCUAACUCAAGCAACAUUGCUCUGAGUGCCAACACCAUAAAUUUAACUCUCCUCUGAAGAACUCUACUUGGAUGCUCCAGGUACCAAAUGAAAUAUCCAAAACGGAAGAAAGGAGAGUCCCUUCAUUUCCUGAAUCUGCUCCCUUCUGGUAUUCCGAAUCUUAUAGGCUGAGGCACCAAAGCCAGAAUCCUGAAAGUCAUCCUGAUCUCUGGCCUCUCACUAAUGACUCACAUACAAUCUCUCAACAUCUGUCAACUUCUUCCUAAAAAUCUCUUAAAUGUGGCCCUUCUGUCCAACCCCACUACUACUAGCUUAGUAGCUACCAUCAUUUCUCACCAGAAUUUCUACAAUAGCCACUGAACUUGUUUUCUGCUUCAUGUCUCAUAUGCCUCCAACCUACCAAUCUCACACCCCUGCUUAUCCUCAGCACCUGGAACAGUGUCUGGCAUGAAGUAGACACAAAUCAAUAUUUGUUGAAUGAACAAGCGAAUGAAUCAAUUCCUAUCAUAGAGCCC